Molecule: long non-coding RNA, 824 nt
Organism: Salvia splendens (bonfire salvia)
Lineage: Eukaryota; Viridiplantae; Streptophyta; Magnoliopsida; Lamiales; Lamiaceae
Exons: 2
Source: RefSeq, a predicted model, not a curated record
UUCACUUCCCCCCGUCCCUAAUUCACGUCUCUCUCUCAGUUUCAAAUCCCCCAAAACCCUUCUAUUCAAAUCCCCCAAAAUUCACGUUCCCUACUUCUCAAUUUUAAAAAUCCCUUCAACAACAUCCUUUCCCUAAUUCUCUCAAUCCGAGCAGGAGAUUGGAUUUUCAUUGCUAACAGGUUUUGUUGCAGAGAAACACCUUUGGGUUUUCGGAGGAUAGAAUUUAGAAGCAGAAAAUUCCAGGUCCAAACCACAAGCCAAUCUUUGCUAAUGCGGGCAUUUAAUCAGGCUAUCAGAUUGACAAGGAACUCGAUCAUUUGAAGAACGCGUUUGAGGUAAUACUAUCUUCCUAGUGCUUUUAGCUGUAGAAUUAGUGAUACAUCCCUUGUCAAAUAUUUCUCAUGUUUUUUAAGUAUGAAUGUUUGAAUUCUGUUUGGAAAUAGACAAGGAAAAGGGUGAUGGUAAAUUCGUUCAUAAUUUGAGCUUUGAGCAGGUAAAGCCUUAGUUCUUUUGUAGACUUUAUAUUAUCAAUUUUUCUAGCUUAGUGGAGUAUUUAUCUUGAGCAUAGUAUCAAAUUUUGUUUUGAUAUGUUAAAUAAUAUAUUGCAUUUCUAUUGCAUUAACAGGAACAGAUGAUGUUAUUGUGGACAUGAAGAUGUGAUGUUUGUCAAAAGGAGCUCAAAGGAAAAUAAAAAAUGCUAGAUGAAUGUUAGAUCUAGAAUUUUAUAUUUGUAUACAUUGAUUUUCAUUUUACAUUGUAUAUAUUGAUUAUUUUAAAAUUAUUAUGCAAAUUUUUUAUGUAACAGUCCUUUUAUAUUUGAGGCA